UCUCGCCUUCUUUACUAAUCAUUGAUAUUAUGUUGAUACUCCUAAAUAUAAAGCUUUAUUACAACUGUCACAUAAACUUAACAUGAACCAUGAAAAUGAGGUCAAGGUCAGUUAAACCAUAUGUCAGGCAGACAUGUACAGCUAACAAUGCUUCCAUACAACAAAUAUAGUUGACCUAUUGCUUAUAGUUUAAGAAAAUAGACCAAAACACAAAAAUUUAACACAGAGCAAUGAACCGUGAAAACCAGAAAACCAGGUCAAGGUCAAAUAAAAUCUGCACGAUUGACAUAUAGAUCAUAAAAUAUUUCCAUACACCAAAUAUAGUUGACCUAUGACAUAUAGUAUAAGAUAAAAAGACCAAAACUCAAAAACUUAACUUUGACAACUGAACCAUGAAAAUGAGGUCAAGGUCAGAUGACAUCUGCCCGCUAGACAUGUACACCUUACAAUCAUUCCAUACAACAAAUAUAGUAAACCUAUUGCAUAAAGUAUGAGAAAAACAGACAAAAACACAAAAACUUAACUAUAACCACUGAACCAUGAAAAUGAGGUUAAGGUCAGAUGACAUCUGCCCGCUAGACAUGUACACCUUACA
Molecule: long non-coding RNA, 595 nt
Filed under: Mytilus galloprovincialis (Mediterranean mussel)
Lineage: Eukaryota; Metazoa; Mollusca; Bivalvia; Mytilida; Mytilidae
Source: RNAcentral